RNAcentral lists this ribosomal RNA (544 nucleotides) under Sticta cinereoglauca. Its description in RNAcentral is "eukaryotic LSU rRNA". It matches the Rfam family "Eukaryotic large subunit ribosomal RNA", at positions 88 to 646 of the family's 3401-position model. Lineage: Eukaryota; Fungi; Ascomycota; Lecanoromycetes; Peltigerales; Lobariaceae. The record is from RNAcentral.
UGCGAGUGAAGCGGCAACAGCUCAAAUUUGAAAUCUGGCCUCCUUGGGGUCCGAGUUGUAAUUUGUAGAGGGUGCUUCGGGCGCGAUGCCGGUCUAAGUUCCUUGGAACAGGACGUCGUAGAGGGUGAGAAUCCCGUAUGCGGCCGGCAAUCAAGCCUGUGUGAAGCCCCUUCGACGAGUCGAGUUGUUUGGGAAUGCAGCUCAAAAUGGGUGGUAAAUUUCAUCUAAAGCUAAAUAUUGGCCAGAGACCGAUAGCGGACAAGUAGAGUGAUCGAAAGAUGAAAAGCACUUUGGAAAGAGAGUCAAACAGUACGUGAAAUUGUUGAAAGGGAAGCGCUUGCAAUCAGACCGGUCCGGAGGCGAUCAGCCGCUGCUCGUCAGCGGUGCACUCGCCUGCGAUCCGGCCAGCAUCGGUUUGGGCGGUGGGAUAAAAGGCCCGGGAAUGUAGCUUCUUUCGGGGAGUCUUAUAGCCCGGGUCGCAAUGCCGCCUGCCCGGACCGAGGACCGCGCUUCGGCUAGGAUGCUGGCGUAAUGGUUGCAAGCG